Molecule: long non-coding RNA, 594 nt
Filed under: Mus spicilegus (steppe mouse)
Lineage: Eukaryota; Metazoa; Chordata; Mammalia; Rodentia; Muridae
Description: lncRNA (ENSMSIG00000020469.1)
Source: RNAcentral
CUCUGCCUGUGCCUUAGGUAUUCAGAGAGGUUUCUUCACAAAGCUUGUUAAGAACUCCGUUCCUCCUAGUUCUGAGGAGAUCUGGGGAGUUUUCAUCAUAGAAUGUCCCAACCGUCAGCAGCCGUGAAGUUUAGGCCUGGGAAUUCUCAGCUUGGUAUUCGGGCAGAGAUUGUGUUCCGAGUUCGCCCUCAUCAUAAAGCUGUGGUUUUGUUAAACAUCACAGGAAUGAGAAUGGCACGGGGAAGCAGGACGUUCCGGAUGCGGCUUCUGGAAGACAAGCUAUGCAAGGCCUCCUGGUGAUGGCAUUGGCUGAGCAUUGGCUGAGCAAGGCAGAGCAGUUCUCAGCUGGUGUUUGACAAGAACAACCUGUAGAGGGCGUCCUUACACCAAGAGCCAUGGAGGUCUGAGCAAUACUACAGAAGAAAAACCUUCAACGAAAACCACAUUCCAAGUCAAAAAGAGUCUAUUGUGUUGCGAAAUUAUUACCUGUAACUGAAUGACACUGUUUUUACAAUAUUAAAGGGUUAUAAGUUUGCCUAAUAUAGUAAAACAUUAUACAAAUUAAUAUUCACUGCAACAAUUAAUUAAUAAAAU